GGGUGCAGCAGGCGCGAAACCUUUGCCAUGCGCGAAAGCGUGACAGGGGAAUUCCGAGUGGUAGGGGGGUUUACCUCCCUAUCUUUUGGCCAAUCCAAACAAUUGGCAGAAUAAGAUCUGGGUAAGACCAGUGCCAGCCGCCGCGGUAAUACUGGCAGAGCAAGUGGUAUCCACGAAUAUUGGGUCUAAAGAGUCCGUAGCGGGCCUGUUAAGUCCACUGUGAAAUCUGGCGGCUCAACCGUCAGGCGUGCAGUGGAUACUGGCAGGCUUGGGAGUGGGGGAGGUCGGGAGUACUCACGGGGUAACGGUAAAAUGUUGUAAUCCUGUGAGGACUACCAGUGGCGAAGGCGCCCGACCAAAACACGUCCGACCGUGAGGGACGAAGGCUAGGAGAACGAAUCGGAUUAGAUACCCGAGUAGCCCUAGCAGUAAAUUAUGCAGACUGUGGUGUUGCGUCGACUUCGAGUCGGCGCAGUGCUGUAGCGUAGGUGUUAAGUCUGCCACCUGGGGAGUACGGCCGCAAGGUUGAAACUUAAAGGAAUUGGCGGGGGAGCAC
This 556-nucleotide ribosomal RNA is filed under the name uncultured archaeon. RNAcentral's name for it is "bacterial SSU rRNA". It matches the Rfam family "Archaeal small subunit ribosomal RNA", at positions 328 to 879 of the family's 1478-position model. The record is from RNAcentral.